Molecule: long non-coding RNA, 787 nt
Filed under: Dromaius novaehollandiae (emu)
Lineage: Eukaryota; Metazoa; Chordata; Aves; Casuariiformes; Dromaiidae
Description: lncRNA (ENSDNVG00000016199.1)
Source: RNAcentral
CGUCCUGCUCGGCGGCGCCCGACGCCCUCCGGGGCCGGAGCUGCCCCGGCUGCCCCGGGCCCUGCUCCCUUGGGGAGGGGGGACGGGCCCUGGCGGCCAGCACCGGCCCGGACCGGCCGGGAUCCGCCCCGUCGGCAGGCCCCGGCCCCCGCGGCGUCGGCACCGGCACCCGGUAGCAGUGGGUUAGCGAGGUGCGCUGAGAAUUUUGACUUAACCAUAAGGUGGAUGGAAAGUGAUACGUUGUUACGGAAACCAGGAGACUGAAGAGUGCUAGUUCAUAAGUUCACAGCUCUGUCAUAUCAGUCUCAGAAAUGUACACUGGCAUUUAUAAAGGACUGAAUUGGUAAUUUGAUCCAUAAAAGCAUCAUGACAGGCACAGCAGAAGAAAAUCAGUGGACGUGUCCAUCUUAAACUUUUUAAAGAUUAUCAAGGAAAGAUCCAACAAUGACAGUGAACAAAAGCUUCUUGAUGUGUGUCUCUGCAGAGGAUGGCAACAGAGGGGGGAAAAAAAAAGAUCUAGUGAGAAGCUAUAUGCUGAAAUCUUCUCAUCUUGAAAUUGAAAGUAUUUGUCAACACAAGGGUUGAGAAGCUAUACCAUCAAUUAUUAUAGCCAGAUUGCAUCUUGGUCUGCAUACACACACACACAUACACACACACACACACACACACACACAAAUUCUUUUUUAUUAAACUUCUGAAUUGUUAGCACUGCUAGCUAUUCUGAAAGAAAUGGCAGAACAAAUGUGCUGAGAAUAAAGUCUAGGUCACAUCUUACUCUACGCUAAGC